UCCGCAAGGCGUAAGGCAAUAGAUAACUCGUUCGAACUGUAGCGCCAAAAUCGUCUCCCGAGCAGGAAAAAGAAUAGCUCAAGCGAAUACCAGCUGUCUCUACAAUGAAAACUAACAGACCCCUAAUUGCAGCUGAGCCAGCUAUGAAUUUGGGAGAUGUUUGUGACGAAAUUUGCAGUUUAAUCAGGGAAGGGCUUAGAGUAGUUGCUGCUAGACAGACUACUGAAGAACAUAAUAGCAAGUUCAAUCAGUUUUUUGUCUGUUAACCUCCUUGGUUUGGAGAGGAUACCGACCCCUUAGUUGCUAAACGCUGGGUUUUGGGGUUAGAGAACAUCUUUGAUUGCAUAGGCUGUUCAGACGAGCAAAAGGUUUCCUUUGCUUGUUUAAGACUGAAAGAUUCAGCACUUUCUUGGUGGAUAGUGUCAAAAAGAUACUUGAAUGCUGAUGGGGCUGCAGUGACAUGGGAGAAGUUUAAGGACUUAUUCUAUAAGAGAUAUUUCCCUAGUUCGUUGAAGCAUGAGAAGCAUCGUGAACUCUGGAAAUUGGGACAAGGAAACAGAACCGUGACUGAGUAUGAUGAAGAAUUCAUUACCUUGUCUUCUCUUGUUUCUGAACUAAAUCCAGACGAUUCUUUGGAAGCUAGGCUGUUCUAUGAAGGCUUAAGGCCAGAUAUUAGUCGACAACUUUGCUUCACGGAUAACGUGUCGUACUUUGUCGUACUCCGAUCUUAGAAACUCGGCAUUACUGGUGGAACUGUGCCUUAACCGUAAAGAUGUUUGAAGUAGAAAGAAAAGGGUAGCAGCAAACCAGAUGGGAGGUUUCAGUUAUGGAUCAUCCUCACCUUUCAAUGCCUGCUUAUGAUUAGUUAUAGUUCUCUUAAAGUUUCAUUGUUUAGGAAGUUUAUAAUGGUAAUGCUUUGUUCUUCCUCCCAAAAACUGAAUUCCACACUCCCUCUCUGGUUUAAUGCUUUGUUCUGUUGCUUUUGUUAGGUGGAGUUUAUUGGCUUAAUGCGUCUCUACAGCUACUUUAUGUUCUUUGUUCCAUUUCCUCACACUAACGUGUCCAUUGGUAGUUUGUUCUUUGUUUCA
Molecule: long non-coding RNA, 1088 nt
Organism: Cucurbita maxima (winter squash)
Lineage: Eukaryota; Viridiplantae; Streptophyta; Magnoliopsida; Cucurbitales; Cucurbitaceae
Exons: 2
Source: RefSeq, a predicted model, not a curated record